GCUGGGCGUGGGCGUGGUGGUGUGUGCCUGUAGUCCCAGCUACUCGGGAGGCUGAGUUGGGAGGAUUGUUGGAGCCCAUGAGUUGUGGGCUGUAGUGUGCUAUGCCAAUUGGGUGACCGCACUAAGUUCAGCAUCAAUAUGGUGAUCUCCUGGAAGCGAGGGACCACCAGGUUGCCUAAGGAGGGAUGAACUGGCCCAGGUCGGAAAUGGAGCAGGUCAAAACUCCUGUGCUGAUCAGUAGUGAGAUGGCUCCUGUGAAUAGCCACUGCACUCCAGCCUAGGCAACAUAGCGAGACCCUAUCUCUA
Callithrix jacchus (white-tufted-ear marmoset) is the source of this 306-nucleotide unclassified non-coding RNA. It matches the Rfam family "Metazoan signal recognition particle RNA". From Rfam's summary of the family: The signal recognition particle (SRP) is a universally conserved ribonucleoprotein. It is involved in the co-translational targeting of proteins to membranes. NCBI's taxonomy places the organism in Eukaryota, Metazoa, Chordata, Mammalia, Primates, Cebidae. The record is from Ensembl.